AGACAUUGUUAGAAUUAUUGAAUGACACAUUGUAAGGACCAAAGAUUUUUAGGCAUGUUGUAGUGGUUCGGCAGGUCACCGACAGAAAGUUAGGCAGCCAUGCGCGGCAGUGAGAGAGUGAGGCCGUCGUGCGUGGCAGUGAGAGAGUGAAGCCACGGUGCGUGAAGCGAUCAACUGCCAUGAGAGAAGGGAUCAGCCGCCAUGUGUGAAGGGAUUAGCCGCCGUGCGUGAAGCGAUCAACCGUCCUGAGUGAAGGGAUCAGCCGUCGUGAGUGAAGCGAUCAACCACCGUGAGUGAAGCGAUCAACCGUCAUAAGUGAAGGGAUCAGUUGCCGUGUGUGAAGGGAUCAGCCGCCAU
RNAcentral lists this long non-coding RNA (357 nucleotides) under Amborella trichopoda. RNAcentral's name for it is "long non-coding RNA (ATRI_LNC000070)". Lineage: Eukaryota; Viridiplantae; Streptophyta; Magnoliopsida; Amborellales; Amborellaceae. The record is from RNAcentral.